AUUGAACGCUGGCGGCAGGCUUAACACAUGCAAGUCGAGCGAGCGGCGGACGGGUGAGUAAUGUCUGGGAAACUGCCUGAUGGAGGGGGAUAACUACUGGAAACGGUAGCUAAUACCGCAUACCAUCAGAUGUGCCCAGAUGGGAUUAGCUAGUGGGUGGGGUAAUGGCUCACCUAGGCGACGACCCCUAGCUGGUCUGAGAGGAUGACAGGCAAAACGGGACCGGAGCAACGGUCCAGAUUCUUACGGGAGGAAGAAGGGGGGAAUAUUGCACAAGGGGCGCAAGCCGGAUGCAGCAAGGCCGCGUGGGUGAAGAAGGCCUUGGGGUUGUAAAGCACUUUCAGCGAGGAGGCGUUACUCGCAGAAGAAGCACCGGCUAACUCCGUGCCAGCCGCCGCGGUAAUAC
Molecule: ribosomal RNA, 406 nt
Filed under: uncultured bacterium
Lineage: Bacteria
Description: partial 16S ribosomal RNA
Rfam family: Bacterial small subunit ribosomal RNA
Source: RNAcentral